This is a long non-coding RNA of Mus musculus (house mouse), 404 nucleotides long. RefSeq annotates it as predicted gene, 57805. Lineage: Eukaryota; Metazoa; Chordata; Mammalia; Rodentia; Muridae. The record is from RefSeq and is a predicted model, not a curated record. The transcript has 2 exons.
GGGGAGGGGCCAGAGGGUUAAAAGCCAAGCUGCUUGAGUGAGAAGAGACAAGGCAGGCUCUCCCUGUGCAGAGGAUUCCCUGGACGAGGCUCCAGCUCCACUCCAGCUCCAGAGCCUGCCUGGUUUGCAGCAGAGAUGCAGAAGUACACGGGCUCACUGCUCGGCCUAAUCAAGCCUGCUGACAGCUGUGGCACUUGGGAAUGGCGAGGAAACCGUUACCAUUACUGAGUUUAGUAAUGGUAACGGUUCUCUUGCUGCUCCCACAAACUGUGCCAAGAAGAGCUCAUGACCCUGGAGCAGACUGCUGGAAGAAAAGGACACCCAGGCUGACAAGAGAAUGGGGUUGGGGGAAAGGGUACAUUUUCCUCUUCACUGUGCCAAAGAAAUAAAAGAUAAGAAUAAGA